CCGGCAAAUGCUGUGCAUCAAUAUAACACGCCAUCGGCAAUGGUAGCUGGAUAACAGAGCCUGGGGGCACUAAAGUGGGCAGACAUGUGACACUUGGCGUUACGCCAGGGAGGAAUAUGUCAGCGUGUCUCGGCUGAUGUCAUCAGUAAUUAGUAAAUAUUCUGGAAACAUCAACAUUCUCAGAAAUCAAAUGAAAAUCUAUGAACCAUAAGAAAGAAGGAAAUGUCGCUGUGGAGGAGGCUCUGAAGUCAUGAACAGGUGGACUGUGACUGCGGAAAAAGCACUAUGGCUACUAAAGGAAUAUGGUGGCAGGAAGAGAUCAAUGGCUUUUAAGAAUCUUCUGCUUCUUGAGAAAACUUCCGCCCUGUACCCAGGUGAAGACUCUUUUCUACAGACUGAAACCUCUUACAUAUGAUGCAAAUAACAGCUCGCGCCGAAAGGAAAUUUGUUUCUGACAGCUAAAUCUCACGUUUGCCAUCGGAUCAGAGGAGUGAACUUAAAUGCAAAUAAAACUAUUCAU
Long non-coding RNA from Hyla sarda, 520 nucleotides. RefSeq lists it as uncharacterized. The transcript has 3 exons. The record is from RefSeq and is a predicted model, not a curated record. NCBI's taxonomy places the organism in Eukaryota, Metazoa, Chordata, Amphibia, Anura, Hylidae.